AUACGAAGGGCCCGAGCGUUAAUCAGAAUUACUGGGCUUAAAGGGUACGCAGGCGGAUUCGCAGGCAUCUUGUGAAAUCCCUCGGCUCAACCGAGGAACUGCAGGGUGAACCGCGAGUCUUGAGGCAAGUAGGGGCUGUCGGAACGGUAGGUGGAGCGGUGAAAUGCGUUGAUAUCUAUCGGAACGCCGAAGGCGAAGGCAGACAGCUGGGCUUGUUCUGACGCUGAGGUACGAAAGCGUGGGGAGCGAACGGGAUUAGAAACCCCAGUAGUCC
RNAcentral lists this ribosomal RNA (274 nucleotides) under uncultured bacterium. RNAcentral's name for it is "partial 16S ribosomal RNA". It matches the Rfam family "Bacterial small subunit ribosomal RNA", at positions 523 to 796 of the family's 1533-position model. The record is from RNAcentral.